This 441-nucleotide ribosomal RNA is filed under the name Clostridium perfringens. RNAcentral's name for it is "bacterial SSU rRNA". It matches the Rfam family "Bacterial small subunit ribosomal RNA", at positions 338 to 796 of the family's 1533-position model. Lineage: Bacteria; Bacillati; Bacillota; Clostridia; Eubacteriales; Clostridiaceae. The record is from RNAcentral.
CCUACGGGAGGCAGCAGUGGGGAAUAUUGCACAAUGGGGGAAACCCUGAUGCAGCAACGCCGCGUGAGUGAUGAAGGUUUUCGGAUCGUAAAGCUCUGUCUUUGGGGAAGAUAAUGACGGUACCCAAGGAGGAAGCCACGGCUAACUACGUGCCAGCAGCCGCGGUAAUACGUAGGUGGCGAGCGUUAUCCGGAUUUACUGGGCGUAAAGGGAGCGUAGGCGGAUGAUUAAGUGGGAUGUGAAAUACCCGGGCUCAACUUGGGUGCUGCAUUCCAAACUGGUUAUCUAGAGUGCAGGAGAGGAGAGUGGAAUUCCUAGUGUAGCGGUGAAAUGCGUAGAGAUUAGGAAGAACACCAGUGGCGAAGGCGACUCUCUGGACUGUAACUGACGCUGAGGCUCGAAAGCGUGGGGAGCAAACAGGAUUAAAUACCCUGGUAGUCC